AUUUAGAUGAUGAGUCCCAAAUAGGACGAAAUCCAAAUCGUGGAU
Molecule: non-coding RNA, 45 nt
Filed under: Trichobilharzia regenti
Lineage: Eukaryota; Metazoa; Platyhelminthes; Trematoda; Strigeidida; Schistosomatidae
Source: RNAcentral